Molecule: long non-coding RNA, 1276 nt
Organism: Mus musculus (house mouse)
Lineage: Eukaryota; Metazoa; Chordata; Mammalia; Rodentia; Muridae
Product: predicted gene, 33836
Exons: 7
Source: RefSeq, a predicted model, not a curated record
UGGAGUAAAAAUGAAAAAGACAACACAGGCUAGGUGUGGACCAUGGGUCCUUAAUGUAAUGUGUAUGGGCCUGGGCUCAAUCCCAGUAACUCUCUCUCUCUCACACACACACACACACACACACACACACACACCAUGAGUAAGACUGACAGCAGCUAGUUGAUGUGAUGGGGACAGGAGGGAUGGAUGUGCCACUUUCAGAAUCUAUAUUGGAAGGACACUCCUGUGCUCUAUGGCAAAGCACCAGCAUGUAUGUCACAUUAGCAGCACACACAUACUGUGCUGGUUUGCUUGUUCUGAGUCAAAUCUCAGUUAGCCCAGAUGCCUCUGUAACAAGCCUGAUACCAGCACCUAACGACGACUCAAUGUUUCUAUAAGUGCCAAGCCCAUAUCUACAGAAAGAGGGAAGAAUGUGGGAAUGACAGCAAGAGAAGCCCAGACAUCACUUGCAGCAUUGAAGAUGAUUUACCUCCUGCCCCUCCUUCUCAGAAUGACUCUGAGUACGUGUUACACCACAAGGACUAAACUGAAAAGGCAGAAGACAAGCUGGGCAGGAAGUCCCAGGGAAAGAUGAAGGAGAGUGCUGCUUGAAAAGAUGACUCUUUGGAGCUAAGCUACCGACAUCAAAAGUCUUCAGCUUUAAUACGGUCUGGUCACCGCAACUCACUCACUCCUGGAGUCCCACGGAGAUCCUGUCUCGUGCCGAGAGACCGAGUCCACCAACUCGGACACCUGCACCACCCACUGAGCUCCAGCUGAACCCAAAGCAGAAGGACACUUGAAGAACCUUACCCGUGCCACCAUCGACCCAGGCUAUGGCAUCAGGCCAGACCGGAGGCAUGGGCCCACUCUUGAAGACAGGAAGCCAUCAAUGCCAGGAAGUGCCUUUUAUGUUAAAUAUGUGAAUCUGUCUUAGGAGAGAAUGCUUUACUGAGACCAGAGACGUGUAUUUUUCUGAAAGCAGCCUGGUAAAAGGGCAUGUGAUGUUUUGCUGGAGUGGACGCUUGAGAGGACCCGUGAUGUUUGGAAAGAGUAGAGAAACACACGAAAUAACUUCUGGAUGUGUUCUGCUUCUUGCUGCUUUGGCGGACGUAUGCUGAUUGGUGGAGCCUCAAGGAUUCUUCUGGAUCAAGCCGCUGCUGCUGAAUCAAGUGAACUGGACAAUGAAGAUCAGAAUUGCUUCAAAGAUCUACUUCUAAACAGGCCCAUGAUCCCCUUGUUCUAUUAGCUCCCUAUCUUUGACUGGUGGGCUAUAAGGGAGGUGAAGCAUGUAAGA